UAGCAGAGGUGAUGACACAAUAGUCUCAGA
RNAcentral lists this non-coding RNA (30 nucleotides) under Macaca fascicularis (crab-eating macaque). The record is from RNAcentral. Lineage: Eukaryota; Metazoa; Chordata; Mammalia; Primates; Cercopithecidae. RNAcentral also lists the same sequence under 1 other name.